RNAcentral lists this ribosomal RNA (354 nucleotides) under uncultured Rhodoferax sp. Its description in RNAcentral is "bacterial SSU rRNA". It matches the Rfam family "Bacterial small subunit ribosomal RNA", at positions 1026 to 1382 of the family's 1533-position model. Lineage: Bacteria; Pseudomonadati; Pseudomonadota; Betaproteobacteria; Burkholderiales; Comamonadaceae. The record is from RNAcentral.
GCCGUAACACAGGUGCUGCAUGGCUGUCGUCAGCUCGUGUCGUGAGAUGUUGGGUUAAGUCCCGCAACGAGCGCAACCCUUGUCAUUAGUUGCUACAUUCAGUUGGGCACUCUAAUGAGACUGCCGGUGACAAGCCGGAGGAAGGUGGGGAUGACGUCAAGUCCUCAUGGCCCUUAUAGGUGGGGCUACACACGUCAUACAAUGGCUGGUACAAAGGGUUGCCAACCCGCGAGGGGGAGCCAAUCCCAUAAAGCCAGUCGUAGUCCGGAUCGUAGUCUGCAACUCGACUACGUGAAGUCGGAAUCGCUAGUAAUCGUGGAUCAGAAUGUCACGGUGAAUACGUUCCCGGGUCUU